Molecule: small nuclear RNA, 106 nt
Filed under: Dasypus novemcinctus (nine-banded armadillo)
Lineage: Eukaryota; Metazoa; Chordata; Mammalia; Cingulata; Dasypodidae
Source: RNAcentral
GUGCUCACCUCACCAGCACAUAUACAAAAAUUGAACAAUACAGAGACUAUUAGCAUAGCCUCUGGGCAAACAUGACAUACACAUUUGUGAAGCAUAUCAUAUUUUU